RNAcentral lists this ribosomal RNA (439 nucleotides) under uncultured bacterium. RNAcentral's name for it is "partial 16S ribosomal RNA". It matches the Rfam family "Bacterial small subunit ribosomal RNA", at positions 339 to 795 of the family's 1533-position model. The record is from RNAcentral.
CUACGGGCCGCAGCAGUGAGGAAUAUUGCACAAUGGGGGGAACCCUGAUGCAGCAACGCCGCGUGGAGGAUGACGCAUUUCGGUGUGUAAACUCCUUUUAUAUGUCAAGAAAAUGACGGUAGCAUAUGAAUAAGCACCGGCUAACUCCGUGCCAGCAGCCGCGGUAAUACGGAGGGUGCAAGCGUUACUCGGAAUCACUGGGCGUAAAGGACGCGUAGGCGGGCUUGUAAGUCAGGUGUGAAAUCCUACAGCUUAACUGUAGAACUGCACUUGAAACUACGAGCCUAGAGUAUGGGAGGGGGAGAUGGAAUUAGUGGUGUAGGGGUAAUAUCCGUAGAUAUCACUAGGAAUACCUAAAGCGAAGGCGAUCUCCUGGAACAUAACUGACGCUAAGGCGUGAAAGCGUGGGGAGCAAACAGGAUUAGAUACCCGAGUAGUC